RNAcentral lists this ribosomal RNA (593 nucleotides) under Litchfieldella xinjiangensis. RNAcentral describes it as "bacterial SSU rRNA". It matches the Rfam family "Bacterial small subunit ribosomal RNA", at positions 408 to 993 of the family's 1533-position model. The record is from RNAcentral. Lineage: Bacteria; Pseudomonadati; Pseudomonadota; Gammaproteobacteria; Oceanospirillales; Halomonadaceae.
AAGAAGGCUUUCGGGUUGUAAAGCACUUUCAGUGGGGAAGAAAGCCUGGCGGUUAAUACCCGUCAGGGACGACAUCACCCACAGAAGAAGCACCGGCUAACUCCGUGCCAGCAGCCGCGGUAAUACGGAGGGUGCGAGCGUUAAUCGGAAUUACUGGGCGUAAAGCGCGCGUAGGCGGCUUGAUAAGCCGGGUGUGAAAGCCCUGGGCUCAACCUGGGAACGGCAUCCGGAACUGUCAAGCUAGAGUGCAGGAGAGGAAGGUAGAAUUCCCGGUGUAGCGGUGAAAUGCGUAGAGAUCGGGAGGAAUACCAGUGGCGAAGGCGGCCUUCUGGACUGACACUGACGCUGAGGUGCGAAAGCGUGGGUAGCAAACAGGAUUAGAUACCCUGGUAGGACACGCCGUAAACGAUGUCGACUAGCCGUUGGGCUCCUCGCGAGCUUAGUGGCGCAGUUAACGCGAUAAGUCGACCGCCUGGGGAGUACGGCCGCAAGGUUAAAACUCAAAUGAAUUGACGGGGGCCCGCACAAGCGGUGGAGCAUGUGGUUUAAUUCGAUGCAACGCGAAGAACCUUACCUACCCUUGACAUCCUCGG